ACAGCUGCAACAUCAGCGCGCCAACGCAAGCAUGUGUCUGGGACUGAGCAAGGCCCUUGCAGCUGCACCCCUUGGUGGAAAGAAGGUUCUGGAGGCAGGACACCAGUUCUGACUGGUAGGAUCGGCUGGUGAUGGAGCAGUGGAAUGACCGGCAGUGGCUGCAGGAUUAGGAAGGUCACCUUCAUGGAGCUGUGUCCCUGGCUUGCCCCUGGCUUCCAUCGACGGAUCACCCAGAUGCGACCUACCAUCCUCCUGGAGAAGUGGGUCACCAUCGCUAUCUGGAAGCUUGCCUCUCCAGACAGUUACUGGUCUGUGGGCAACCAGUUCAGCGUGGGAAAGUCCACCGUUGGGGCCAUCCUCAUGGAGAUGGUGAGGGGCAUAAACCCAUCUUGCUACGCAGGGUCAUCCACCUGGGAGACCUAGAACUCAUCGUGGCCGGCUUUGCCACCCUGGGCUUCCCCAACUGCAGGGGGGCCAUAGAUGGAACCCACAUCCCCAUCCAGGCCCCAGAACAUCGGACAGUUCAUGGACAUUUUCAUCAGGUGGUUGGGGAAGGCGCACGACGCCCGCAUGUUCAGAAACUCCAGCCUCUACCAGAAGCUAGAGGCUGGCACGUUCUUCCCCCAGCAUGACUACAGGUUCAGGGACAUGGAGAUGCCACUGUGCAUUGUGGGGGAUGCAGCCUACCCUUCGUGCCAUGGCUGAUGAAGCCCUACACCGGCCACAUACACCCAAGCAGAGACCGUUUCAAUGCCUGCCUGGGCAGGGCCCACAUCCAGGCCGAAUGCACCUUUGGCCACUUGAAGGCGAGGUUCAGGUGCCUCCUAAUCCACCUCAAUGUGGGGGAGCACAUCUCCAGGGCAGCCUAUUGUGUUCUCCACUACAUUGUGAAGAGCAAGAGGGAGACCUUCCUUUCAAGGUGGGGGGAGGGGCAGAGGCUAGCCAGGUGGGAAGGGCCUUUGAGCAGCGGCACACAGCUGCCAUCCACCAGGCCCCUUAGGUGGGGGUUCGCAUCUGGGAGAUCCUUAGGGAGAGUUUCUCUGAAGGACCCCAGUAACUCUCCCCAGGGCCUUGCCCCUCUAUGCCGUCCCCAGAAAAUCCCUUCCCUACCACCUUCCCUGUAGAUACAAUAAAAAUUCCAGUCUUGUUUUUAAAAACAUUUAUUUUUUUCAAAAAAGUAACUGGUGAGGAGGGGGGCUGAGAACCUGGAUAUGGGAGUGAGGAGGGGGUCAGAUCUAGGGCUAAAAGUGGCACAUGGUGGAACUAGAAGUUCCCCCUUGUGUCUGGAGACCCGGAGGAGGGGGGUUCAGGGACAACAGGGGGAUAGUCUGGAGUGGGGUCAAGCAUGGCAUGUGGGCAGAGGCAGGCAUGGCCAGAGGAGGAGUGCCUGGAGCAGGGACAGGAGCAGGGACUGGGACAGUGGCACAGAUGUUGCGGCCCUGCUGCACCAUCUUGGUACACAUUUGGGCCCACCAUUGAACAUUGUGGUGGACCUUCUGGGCCAGUGCCUGAUGAAUAUCCUGGAGGAUGGCCACAUGCUCCCUCAUAAGGUCCUCAUGGACCUUCCAACACCAGUGGCUUCCUCACAGUCAAGUGGCUGGUUCCCCUGGUGGUGAUCACCUCACAGUCAUGGCUGGUCUGGUUGGGGAGAAUAAAGAAAGUGAGGUGUCAGUCAUCCCCGGAGACAUUGUCCCUGAGGCCUUGCCCUCAUCAGUGAGCUGAGAGCAAUAGUCCUUGGCCCAGAGGACGAUGAUAUCCUGGGAGCAAGGCCAUGUAUGGCCUGGACAGCGGGCCCUGCCUCACAGGGACCCAGAGGUACCCAGAGGACCAUGCUUCCCACCCCCCUUUCUCCUGCCCCAUCCCACAGACCAGCAGGCAAAGGAAGUGUCCAGCCACACUGGGAUUCCAUGGGAGGAAGAGGAACCUUGGGCAGUCUUGGCUUCCAUCGGGGCCGCACACACACCUGUGCCUGACAGCGCUGUCCCCAGGAUCAGGUGGUGUCUAAAGCAUGCAAGCAUGCCCAUGUGGUGUGUGCAGCGCUCCAGAGUCUGUGUGCAGGCGUGCAUGUGCCCUUGUCCCCAGCCUCCUUCCAGU
Pelodiscus sinensis (Chinese soft-shelled turtle) is the source of this 2094-nucleotide long non-coding RNA. RefSeq lists it as uncharacterized. The record is from RefSeq and is a predicted model, not a curated record. NCBI's taxonomy places the organism in Eukaryota, Metazoa, Chordata, Testudines, Trionychidae.